RNAcentral lists this long non-coding RNA (10878 nucleotides) under Medicago truncatula (barrel medic). Its description in RNAcentral is "long non-coding RNA (MTRU_LNC004556)". The record is from RNAcentral. Lineage: Eukaryota; Viridiplantae; Streptophyta; Magnoliopsida; Fabales; Fabaceae.
AGGUGACUGAAUCGCAGCUAAUUUUUGCUGCAAGUUGAGAUUUUUAUAAAACCUUUUAAUAAAUUCUUCAGCUGCAACAUCAACAUGACUAUGAUCAUCACCUUCUUCAUCCUUUAGGGGAAAUGGUGAAUCAGCGACUCUAAUUUUUUUCCCAAUGGGACUUUUUCCAAAUCCAGGAAAUGUCACUAAAGGAGAAGGAGAAGAAAAAGAAGAAGAAUCAACAUCAUUAAGAAUUUCUAGAACCUUUUGAAUGGUGGAAACAUCGUUGUGGUGGCGGCCGCGGUGAUAGUUAUUAUUUUUGUUGUGGAAUUUAAUGGCGGCGGGGCUGUUGCUGCAGCUGAACUCGUAGUCGUGGGGAGAGACGAAGGAGGCAGUCGAGUGGUGGCGGAGAGCUAGAGUGUUGGCUAUGGCUUUGAUGGCGGCGAGUUUGCUACGUUUUAACAAGAGAUUUAAUUCUGCUACCAUUUUGCUUUUGGCAAUGUUUUUUGUAAACAUGAAGAAAAUUAUACGUAGUGUGUUCCAUACUUUCUUUGUAACUACCAUUGUUUGGUUUGUUUCAAUUUCCAUUGUUGUAACGGUUUGAUAAGUUUGUGAGUGUUUUUGUUUUGUUGAGAGAGAGAAUGAGAAUGUGUGAACGUGUGUAAUUGGAUUGUGAUAUGGUUUGUGUUUGUGAUAGGAGAGUUGGAGUUAGGUGGUAUAUAAAGGGGUUCCAAUUACAAAUUAUAAUUAUCCACUAAGAAAUUAGAUUAUGAUAAAUUUAUAAUUAAUCGUUUCUAAAAAGAUAACAACACUACCUGUCAAAAAAAGAAACAAAAGAUAACAACACUAACUUAAAAGUUCAACUUUUCCAAUGUAUGAGCAUUGACUGCUAUGGCUAUACAAAUUCAGUUAUAUUGUGGUUGCCAAAUUAUAACUGUUCAAAAUUGUACAAAGGAAUGGCACAGUGCUUUUUACCUUGUUAGAAAAAUAGUACACUCUUUUUUCUUCAUGAGCUAAAAAACAAAAGUUAUUUACAUAGAUAACCUUAUCUUUUUUACUCAUUCAAGAUUUCUUCAUUUUUGCAUUUCUAAAAUAUGGAUGCAUACAUAUAUUAUGAGAAAGAGAGAUUAGUUAUAAGAAAUAUAUGAAGAAGAAAUGUAUGUUAUAUUAAUAUCGUGAUGUUAAUCCAUUACUUUGUGUCUAGGAUGAAAACUUGAGCAAUUUGAACCGCACCUUUUAUUCUCUUUAGGGUUUGCCUGGUUUUUGGUUGUAUUACUGAGCUUUUGUUCUGGGUAUCCAUAUGCAACUAAGUUUUUAUUCCCCGGUCCUUCUUUGACACAACUUGUGCUUGAGCGACUAGGAUUCUGGUGAAUUUAUUCUAUUAUAGUUUCUUCAAAAGAAAAAAAUUGAACCACGGCUACGUGUUUCUUAUAGUGGUCUAAAUGGCUAUAUGUGGGCUUAAUAUUAGAUAUGUCUAAAGCUUAUGGUAUGAUGAUUCAUUGAGUGGUCUUUUUUUAAGGCAGUUUUGAAUAGCAUCAAUUUUCAUCAACGCCUGAUUUCCUUGAUAAUGAAUUGUGUUUCUAAUGUGUCCUUUUCUGUUUUGUUGAAUAGUGGUCUUUGUCUACCAUUUGUGUCCAUUGUGUGCUGAAGUUUUUUGAGAUUUUUUUUUCUUCUUCUAGAGCUAUUGAAAGGAACACUCUCCAUGAAAUCCAUAUUGCAAGAGGAGUAUUUGUAUAUUCUCAUUUAUGAUUUACCUUCUCAGUGUACUAUUUGAUAUUUAAUGAAAUGGCUUAAGCUUUCCUUUGCUAAAAAAAAGAAAGAAAAAAAAAGAUCAGGCUAGACCACAACUGAUGUAUCCUUUUCAAUAUCUAAGGCGAUCAAGACUAGGUUGUGAAAUAAGAUGGGAGGUAAGUUAGUAAAUGAAAGCAUUAUAUUACUAUUUUAAAUUUUUAAGAUAUGUAAUUUAAUUUUUUUUUAUAUCAACUUUGUGUUUAAUGUUAUUACAACAUAAGUUUGACGUUUUGAAAUUCUAGCGCACUUGUUUUAAUAUGUUCUGUAUGAUGUUACGGUGUUUGCAAUGUUACGAUUAAUGUUUUAACAUCACACGAUAAACAGAAAUAAAAACAAGAAAAUAAAUGAUAGGAAAGUAAAUAACACAAUGAGUUUGUUGACCUAGUUCGGUGACAAACACACCUACUCUGGGGGCUACUAAGCCAGGAAGGAAAUCCACUAGUGUAGUCCUUAUUCAAUAGCUCUCAGCAAACUCCUCGUUUACACUAUAUGACAUAGGACCUACCCGUAUAGACUUCAACCAAGGAACUCCUAGAUCUGAGAUCUCAUCUCACUAUCCUAAUGAUCAGUCAAAGCCCCUAUGACCUAUCAGACCUAAACCAAAACAAAGUAGAAGUUACAUUCCAACACAAACAACUAGCACCUUGUUUCACAACUUCGGUGUAGUACAAAGGAGUAUCAAUACUCACACACAAUCCUAACAAGUAUCACAAACGAUACAAGAAAGAACACACGAUAUAUUCUAAACUUGCAUCACAAGCGAUACAAGAGCAUAAUACAUGAAGACUCAAACCCUAAAAAUCUAAACUUUUAGAAUGAUGGCUUGAAUAAACAAUUAGGUCUUGAAGUCUUCCUUAUAUACUGAAGCAGCUUGGGCUAAAUAAUUUGUUGGGCUUCAGCAAAAUGCAGAUCGGUUCAGCUUAAUCUGCAAAACAAUAAUCAGAAACAAAUCUGGAAAGUCCUAAAAUGUCGGAACAUUAUAGGAUCGUUCCAAACAAUAAUAAAUAUUUCCUAAAAUAUAAAAUACACUUUAGAAAUAUUCCACAACUGAUUCUUAGAAGUUAUGCGCGUUACUUGAUCAAUAAGAUAAGGAAAUAUUGUUUCCUUAAACAAUAAAGGGUGCGCGUAAAAACAGGCGAGAACUCAGGCACACUGAACCGUGCCAGGAUGUUGGAGCAUCAUAUCCAACAUCUUCCAAAGACGCCUAAACACAUGUUGAAACAUUGGUUCCAACUUACAUCAAGGAUAUUUGUUUUAGCAACAAUGCAGCCAAUACAAAUACCCAACACAUUUAUAUAUAUAUAUAUAUAUAUAUAUAUAUAUAUAUAUUAACAAUAAAAAAUGAGAUAUAUUACCACAAGGAUUAACAGUCCUACUCUCUAGUUCAAGGUGUGCAAAGGAGAGCAGAACAAAAGUCUACAAAGAAUCCUGAAUAAUUACAGACAAAAAAGAGUCAACCAAUGCCCAAACAGACAAGACGUUGCUGCCACCACAUAUGGUAACCAAAAGGAAGACACGCAUUUGUAGCGUCCAGCCAAUGUAAAGUAGUAAUUUGGACUUUUUCCAAAAGUUGCAUAAUAGAUUUAGCUUUAUUAGAGAACAAUAUGUGAUUCCUUUCAUUCCAUAGCACACAAACGCUGCAAAAACGACCGACGGAGUUUAAAGCUUCCUGUGGAAUAAGCAAACUGAGAAAAAUGAUCCAAAAUAUGUUGGGAAUACACUGAAUGAAAACCAAUCCAAAUUUUGACUUGUUGCUAAAGCACACUGAAAAUAGGACAAUGAAUUAAGAGAUGAUAUGCGUUUCAUUAUAACCACAUCCGGACUCACAUUGUUGAGCAUCAACUGGGAUGUUACCUCUCCGCACCAAAUUGUCUUUUGUAGGCCACCUGUUGCGGAGAAGACGCCACACACAAAUAAUUUUAAUGGUCGACCCGUAUAUAUUUUUUCUUUUAAAUUUCUAGCUUCGUCAUUGGUGUUUUUAUUAGAGAUCAAUUAAUGUAUUAAAGCUCUUCUAAACUUGAUUUAAGGCUAACGAUUCGGGCUGUUUUAGAUAUACGAGGGUGAUGUUUGAAGGUGAUUUGUUUAUUCUUUGAAGGAAAUUUUGGAUACAUGCUAGAUAUUAUAUAAAGGCAAAUGUUAACAUAUGCCCUAAAGGCACAUGCUAAGAAAUUUGAAAUAGAAAAUUACAUUUUAGUAAAUCCAAACAAUCAAUUCUUUGUUAUUAAAUUAUUAUUUCGAGCUCCCUAUGGGACAUUCAUGUACCUGAAUUCAGCGCAUUUGGUUGAAGAAAUACGAACAAAAACUUGUGUGUAUUUUGUUAGCAACUUUAUAUUAAAAGAAUACAUGAAGAAAAGUGGCAAUUUAACAAAAGAAAAAGGAAAAAAGCAAAACACAAGCUAGUGGAUAAAAUUACUCUAAUAAAAAGUUGGUGAGGAAUUGAGAUAUGGUUGUGCUCUAUAAUUGACGGAAAUCACUAUAAGUGAGUCUUUUCUUCCUCUCAAUGUUUUCUUUGAUUUAUAAUAAACUAGUAGUUGAUACUUAUUGCACGUAACCAACGUGUAACGUACAUAUACAAUUACUUAACAAACUCAUCACUUUGAACUAUUGUUGAUAUUUUUAACUUUUUAAUUCUUGCAGUUAAUUUUGAUAUAUACUUACCAUUUUUCAACACAUGGCAUACAAAUUAUAUGGACGUCAAUCAUUAUUGACAUAAGACACCUAGUCACAUCAAUAUCAUUUUUUUAACAUCAAUCACAUUCCAAUUGACGUUGAUAUCUAAACUUGUCUCAACGUAACAACCUAUAAAUAUAGGUGGCAUUUCACAUGGGAAAGGUUAAUCAUUUCCCACCAUGGGAAAGUUGGAUUCAAUGAUUAAAUUAAGUGAAGAACAUAUUCUUAAUAUGCUCUCUCAACACUAGAUUUUUCUUCACACUAUCUUCCAACAAUUUAAAAAUUUCAAAAAUUAAUUUUCAAAAAUUAAAAAAAUCGAAAAAAAUUCAGAUAAUUUUUUUUUUUAAAUUCUGUAAUUCAUUUAUUGAAUGUUAGAAUUUUUUUUUUUGAAAAAUUGAAAAAAAAAUUCCAGAAUUUUAUUUUCUUAGAAAAAUAAAAAAAAAAUUAAUUUCAAAAUAUUUUUUUAGGAUUUUUAUUUUAUUUUUCAGAAUAUCUUAUUUUAUUAUGAAAUUAAAAAAUACAUUCUUUUUAAAAAAAUAAAAACUUAUCUUAGUUUCCAAAAUUUUAUUUUUAUUGAAAUAAAAAAAAAAUAAUCUAACAUUCAAUAAAUGAAUUACAGAAUUUUAAAAAAAAAUUAUCUGAAUUUUUUUUAUAUUUUUUCGAUUUUUUAAUUUCUGAAAAUUAAUUUUCAAAAUUUUUAAAUUGUUGGAAGAUAGUGUGAAGAAAAAUCUAGUGUUGAGAAACAUGUUAAAAAUAUAUUCUUCACUUAAUCUAAUCAUUGAAUCCAACUUUUCUAUGGUGGGAAAUGAUUAACAUUUCCAAUGUGAACACACACCAUAAAUAUAAUAAAUCUAUUUUGUUCUAGUUUUCUUUAUUUGUUUUUAAUAACUCUCCGACUUCUGUUUUAUGUAAUUAUUUUUUUAAUGAUCCCACAUUUUUCUUAGACAAAUAUAAUCCCUCUUCUUUUUUACCAACACAUACAAUAUCACAUUGCUUAUUGAUAGAAACGAGAUAAAGUCUUAAUUAAUAAAAAAGAACUAACUAAUUUAAUAUAUUUUACUAGAUUAGUUGAUAAGUCAGGUAUUCCCGGCCACAAGCAAAAACGGUAGUUUCUUGGUCAUGACCAGCUAAAGCUAAAGUUCUAUUAAAGAGCGUUUCCACGUGGUAGAACCUCAUCAGGGAGUAUAAAGCUUUCAUGAGGUUGAUCUUGAGCCGCCUUCCACGCACGAAUACCUUCAUUUAGGAAAGUAUUUUUGGUGUAGAAAGUCUCAAAUUCAGGAUCUUACACUGCAAGGGUUUCUUAAGAAAUGAAGUCGUAGACACAUAAGUUCAGGGCUAGACUGGCUACUCCAAGAGAAUUCAUCCAUAAACCAAUUACUUAGUUACUGGUAAAAAUAACAUAGAGAAAUGUAACUGACAUUUACUGGAAAAAGGAACCCCAGAUUUUUGUGACCAAAAGUGGUUAGCGGUGAUCAUUGAACAAGUUUUUUCCACUUGAGUUGGGUUAAAAGCACAGAAUGUAUUUGCGCCACCAUCAUCUUCAAAUAAUGUAUUUUCUACUAACACUGUGAAUAGUCAAGAUUGUUACAUUAUCUGGACAUAAUUAAAAGAUGUUUUUAUAUAACUCUGUAAAAGGGUAAUGACUACUCAAUGAUAUAAACACACAUUAAAUUAAACAAGUACUUGUAUAUUUUGGAGAAUAAAUGUGAAGACAUAAGACUUCUCAUAAGGGACAGUUAUUUAGUGUGACAAUAUUUAGAGGUAGUAGUUGAUUGGUUUGUCGAUUUCUUAUAUAAAAAAGAAAUAUAGAAAGCAGUGGAAGUAGCAGUAGUGGAACUAUUUUCUAAACAACGAAAAAGACAAGUUGAUUUGGUUUAUCGAAUAGGAAAACUUGGAAUUGUUGCUUCAAUUAGUAAAGAAUGGGAUAAAAGGGACUUUAUAAACUUUAAUGUUCUAGUUUAUAUUUAUUUAUUAUAUAGUUGUAUAUGUGGUGUGUCUAUGAACACAUGGAAAGCCCUCUCUACUUUAUGCAAGAGAUAAAAAGCUUCGUAACGGUAUCUUAAUGGAUUCAAUAUUUGUAUAGAAUUAUAAUAUUUUACUAAUUCAAUAGUAAAAUUUUGAAGCUAUACUAGGUUACGUAUUAUAUCUAAUUCUUGGAGAUUAUUGUAAUAUGAAGGCGCAUGGUUUCUACUUUUUGGACCAAAGAGAAAAGACAUGUGGGAUCAAAGUGGAAUCUCUUAUCCGUUUUCGAGAAGAAGUUUACUAGAUUAAUUCAUGUCAAUUGAAAUUUGGUAUAGGACAAGAAUAAAAUGACUAUUACUAUUUUUACCCUAUAAGUUUUUCACAAGUUCUACUUUUUAUCUAACAUUUGUAUGGAUUAUAUAAUCGAAAACUUUUUAUAGUGAUUUUUUGGAUUUUACAAUCUGGAACCUUGUAUUUGUUAGUUUGUUUGGUUAAGAUCACAUAGUAAUCAAGUUAGUUUUGUUUGUUAUGAAAUUAGUUACAUUUUUGCUAGAUUUUAGCAUUAUGUUGUUAGGGUUUGAGAGAUGACUUGUUUCUCAAGCAACUCAACAACACCUUGUAUAAAAGCAAUUGUAUUGUAUGAUUCACAUCUAAAUGAAAUCACAUACUUCAUAAUUCUAAUCUCCUCAUUCUCUAUUUCUUCUUAUUCGCUCAAUUCCAAUAAAAUCAAAACCCUAGCUUGAAGAACAAGCUUUGAAGCUGCGCUAACAGUAUUGCCUAGAUUUUUAGAACAACAUUGACAUAUAAUGUUAAAAAGACAUAAUUGAAAAUGAUCAAAAAUAAAAUUAGUUUAAAGAGACAAAAAUGAAUCAAAUUUUCAUUUUAUUGAUGGAUCAUAUAUUUCGUAUUACAUUACAUUAACGUUGAAGCUUAUUUCACAAAAUUAUUACACAUCUUUUACAAAUUAUUUUUUAUUAAACACCUAAUGCUAAAUUUGUGAGGGAAGGAGACUCGGGUAAGGUUUCUUUUCUCUCUAGGAAGAAUGAGACGUUGAUGGUCAACCUUACGCCCAAACAGAUUAACCUUACCUCCGCACAGAUGGUGCAAAUUUACAAAGUGACACAUUGCCCUUUAACCAUUCAAACAGCCCUUAAAAUAUUAGAGUAGUCUUUUUUUUUUUUUUUUUUAUCAAAGGCCAAUGGUGGAGAAGCACAUAUUGCAUGAUUUUUCGGUAGUCCAUAUUGCAUCGACGGUUUCUGUGGUUCACAAUGCACAAAAACUUGUAUAAAUAGAUGUGUUUGGCUCAUUUAAUGUAAAAAAAAAAAACACAAAGUUAUGAAAAAUUAUCUAGUAGAUCUAAACACCGAGAGGUUGUCAUGAACUUAAUCUUACUGCCCUACCAAUAGACCUAUGUCAGUUCACAUGACAGCAUGAUCAAGCUCAAAAAAAUAUCUUGAAACACCUUAUAUGGCACCUUAUAUGAGUGAUGAACUUAUAUCAUCGCUCAUCUUAUUAUGUUAUUUUACAUCAUCACUCAUCUUAUUACGUUGUUUACGCUGUUGAAUUGUGUCAUUUAAUUUUUUUUUGCUAUGAACAUAUAUGUAAAACUCUUAAAACCUCAAGUUUUAAAACAGUUUGGGAUAAAUAUUUAUAUUAUAUAAUCCGAACUAUCUUUGAAGAUUUCAAAUUAUAUAAUCUGAAGCAUCUCGGAUUGUGGAUGGUGGCGUUACAACCUAUGGUUUGGACGGUUUGUUAUGCGUUUAAUUUUAUUUUUAGUCGGUUUACAUUUUGUAAACGUUUCCUUUGAUUGUACCUCGACUCUGCAUAUUACAGUGAAUUAUCCGUACCAAUUGUAAUAUGCAGAACCGCGGUUUGAAUCUCAGACGCCUCACUUAUUCAUCUUUAUAGAGGUUAAUUUCUAACGAUAAAAUGUUUGAAAUUAAUGGGAAUGACAUAAUCCCUCAACAUAUGCUUAAAGUUUAAACAACUCAAUAAUUAAAAAAUAAUUAAAAAUUUCUUUUUUUUUUUUUUUUUUGUACCUUAAACAACUAUAUCUACCUUAAAUGGAAUAAUGAAAGAAACAAUUCUUCUGGGACAAAUUAUUAUUGCAAAUGUUACACCGAAAACGGUUAUAUGUUUCAUUAUGCGAUAUGAUAUGCCUAAGGGUCAUAAUACAGCUCAUAUACAUAUACAAGGACUCCUAGAGUACAACCAAUGUAUAAUUAUGUAUGACUAUUGACUAUACCAUAGUCAUACAAAAAUUCAGCUAUAUGGCAGUCAUAAUAUUUGAGUGAUAUAGCAAUGUUUGACUGCCAAAUUAUUUCAGUUCAAAAUUGUAUCUACAAAAGAAUAUCAGAGUGAUUCUUUCACUGAUUAGUCAGAAAAUAAUACUCGUACACUGAUUUUUACCCUAAAAAAUAAUAGUACAUUGAUUUUAUAGUAUGAGCAAAAAGUAAGCCAUGUAGCUUUAGAUCAGGUUCCCCGCCGUAGAAAAAUCCUACACUUACAUGCAGUUUUAGAUCUCAGCCAUCGAUUUCAUAUGUCGGUUUUUAUUACAUCUUCAUAAAACAAGUACUAAACAAUCUCUACCAUUGAUUUAAUAUCCGACAGCUAAUAUUCAUUAUAGCGACAAGAUGUAACUGUGUGUGACCCGCAUUUGAUUUUUAGGCCAAAUGAGUUAGCGUUAGACAUGACUUAUUUUGAGUUUGGGAGACAAUUGUUGAUUUUGAACGACAUAAAUAAUUGGUGUUAUGUAUUCUUCAACGAUACAUAUUCGUGCUACAUAAUUGGUCAUUUUAGACAUUCGAUCAAACAACUCAUGUUUGAAGAUUCAGCGAGUAAAAUAAACUUCAAAAUUUAAUCUUAGAACGGGUGUCAUCUAAUCGUUAUGAGGUAAAUGUAGAUUUCUAACCGGUGAUACAUAUAUUAAUAAUAAGGGUAAAUUACACUGACCUCCCCUGAAAUUUCUUUAAAUGACACAGACACCUCCUCUAGUUUCUUAAUUAGUACUAACCUCCCUUGAUAUUAAACAUUGUUUAACUUCUGUCAAAUUAUAUUAAGGAAAAAAACAAAAAACAAAAAAGCACUCAUGUUAAUGUUGUCUUUUCAUCUCCUCAAAGCCCAAAAUUUUCAUUCCUCCAUGGAAGCAACACAAAUGAAGCUCAUGUAUGUCUCUUUGAUUCUUGUCCAUUCCAUUCUCGUACAUCAUGCUUUUGUGGAUAUAUAUUUCUCUGUUCGUUUUGCUGGCAUCAAAAUCCAGGAUCAAAAAAAUGUCAGUUUCAUGGCACAAUUUAUUUGAAUAUUAAGUUCGUCCCAAACCCAUUUGCCUUUGGAAUAAUCACAAGAUUCAAUUGGUUGAAAUUUUUGUGAAUUGUUUGGAGGAAUAUGUGACAAGAAAUCAAAGCCAAAAAAACCUUUCCAUUGAAGGUUACAAAAAAUGGCUAAUAGAACGAGGAAAAAAAGCUUAGAAUUAAAACGGUUUGCAGAUUUUUUUUUUUAGGUAAGAAUUGUUUGCAGAUAUUCUACGGUUUAGUAGAUGAAGAUUAUCAUAACUAGAAAUAGAAAAAGUAGUGACUUUAAUUUUAACGGAUAAUUAACGGUGUUAAGUUGUAAAGGGAGGUAUCUUUCUAAUUAUGAGACUUUGGAGGAGGUUAAUGUCUAUUAUAAAAUUAGAGGGAGUGUUUGUUUCAUUUAAGAAAACUACGAGGGAGGUUAGUGUAAUUUAUCCUAAUAAUAAUAACCAAUGGAAAUUAAACUUUUAUACUAUUAACACCGGAAAAUAGAAAAACAUACAUAUAUGAUAUAUACAAAAGACAGUUUUACAUAGCUCCAAAACCAUAGUGUGAAUUAAACACUAUUCAUUACAAAAAGAGCAACAUCAUAAGCACCACCAACACCUCUCCAUAUUGAAAAACCAUGAUCCAAUAGGGAGCAAAGAAAAAACCACAACAUCAUAGUAAAUCAAAUCACGUGCUAUCAAAACCAUCAUCACGUGAAUUUUUACUUGACAAAGUAGUAAAAUGUAAAAGGUGUUUUUACAUAUGUCAAAAAAAGAGAGAAAUCCUUGACUAAUUAAAUAGAUGGAAAAAAAAUUAGUCCAGUUAAAUCUCACUGGUUGAAUUGAAUCUUAAUAUCAAUUCAAAUCAACUGUCCAAUUUUAACUGGGACUAAUAAUAUUCUAUCUAUUGCGGGAGUUGUUGUAAGGUGACUGAAUCGCGGCUAAUUUUUGCUGCAAGUUGAGAUUUUUAUAAAACCUUUUAAUAAAUUCUUCAGCUGCAACAUCAACAUGACUAUGAUCAUCACCUUCUUCAUCCUUUAGGGGAAAAGGUGAAUCAGUGACUCUAAUUUUUUUCCCAAUGGGACUCUUUCCAAAUCCAGGAAAUGCCACUAAAGGAGAAGGAGAAGAAAAAGUAGCAUCAACAUCAUUGAGGAUUUCUAGAACCUUUUGCAUGGUGGAAACAUCGUUGUGGUGGCAGC